Molecule: transfer RNA, 67 nt
Filed under: Ganoderma lucidum Xiangnong No.1
Lineage: Eukaryota; Fungi; Basidiomycota; Agaricomycetes; Polyporales; Polyporaceae
Description: tRNA-Arg (GCG) (tRNA-Arg-GCG-1-1)
Rfam family: tRNA
About the family: Transfer RNA (tRNA) molecules are approximately 80 nucleotides in length. Their secondary structure includes four short double-helical elements and three loops (D, anti-codon, and T loops). Further hydrogen bonds mediate the characteristic L-shaped molecular structure. tRNAs have two regions of fundamental functional importance: the anti-codon, which is responsible for specific mRNA codon recognition, and the 3' end, to which the tRNAs corresponding amino acid is attached (by aminoacyl-tRNA synthetases). tRNAs cope with the degeneracy of the genetic code in two manners: having more than one tRNA (with a specific anti-codon) for a particular amino acid; and 'wobble' base-pairing, i.e. permitting non-standard base-pairing at the 3rd anti-codon position.
Source: RNAcentral
GCCGGGAUAGCGGGAGAGCAACAGACUGCGCUUCUGGAGGUCGCGUGUUCAAUCCACGCUCCUGGCA